AAUCCCUACGGGGCGCAGCAGUGAGGAAUAUUGGUCAAUGGUCGGGAGACUGAACCAGCCAAGCCGCGUGAGGGAGGAAGGUACAGAGUAUCGUAAACCUCUUUUGUCAGGGAACAAAGACUUGGACGCGUCCCCGGAUGAGUGUACCUGAAGAAAAAGCAUCGGCUAACUCCGUGCCAGCAGCCGCGGUAAUACGGAGGAUGCGAGCGUUAUCCGGAUUUAUUGGGUUUAAAGGG
Molecule: ribosomal RNA, 236 nt
Filed under: uncultured bacterium
Lineage: Bacteria
Description: partial 16S ribosomal RNA
Rfam family: Bacterial small subunit ribosomal RNA
Source: RNAcentral